RNAcentral lists this ribosomal RNA (497 nucleotides) under uncultured bacterium. Its description in RNAcentral is "partial 16S ribosomal RNA". It matches the Rfam family "Bacterial small subunit ribosomal RNA", at positions 28 to 507 of the family's 1533-position model. The record is from RNAcentral.
GAUGAACGCUGGCGGCGUGCCUAAUACAUGCAAGUCGAGCGAACAGACGAGGAGCUUGCUCCUUUGACGUUACCGCCGGCGGGGUGAGUAAAACGUAGGUAACCUCCCUCUAAGCCUGGGAUAACUUCGGGAAACCGGAGCUAAUACCGGAUAAUAUUUCUAACCGCUUGGUUCGUUAGUGAAAAAGGGCUUUGCUAUCACUUAUGGAUGGACCUGCGCCGUAUUAGCUAGUUGGUAAGGUAACGGCUUACCAAGGCAACGAUACGUAGCCGACCUGAGAGGGUGAUCGGCCACACUGGAACUGAGACACGGUCCAGACUCCUACGGGAGGCAGCAGUAGGGAAUCUUCCGCAAUGGGCGAAAGCCUGACGGAGCAACGCCGCGUGAGUGAUGAAGGUCUUCGGAUCGUAAAACUCUGUUAUUAGGGAAGAACAAACGUGUAAGUAACUGUGCACGUCUUGACGGUACCUAAUCAGAAAGCCACGGCUAACUACGUG